This 698-nucleotide ribosomal RNA is filed under the name uncultured sediment archaeon. Its description in RNAcentral is "bacterial SSU rRNA". It matches the Rfam family "Archaeal small subunit ribosomal RNA", at positions 657 to 1353 of the family's 1478-position model. The record is from RNAcentral.
CCACCUGUGGCGAAGGCGGUCUACCAGAACACGUCCGACGGUGAGGGAUGAAAGCUGGGGGAGCAAACCGGAUUAGAUACCCGGGUAGUCCCAGCUGUAAACUAUGCAAACUCAGUGAUGCAUUGGCUUGUGGCCAAUGCAGUGUUGCAGGGAAGCCGUUAAGUUAGCCGCCUGGGAAGUACGUACGCAAGUAUGAAACUUAAAGGAAUUGGCGGGGGAGCACCACAAGGGGUGAAGCCUGCGGUUCAAUUGGAGUCAACGCCAGAAAUCUUACCCGGAGAGACAGCAGAAUGAAGGUCAAGCUGAAGACUUUACCAGACAAGCUGAGAGGUGGUGCAUGGCCGUCGCCAGCUCGUGCCGUGAGAUGUCCUGUUAAGUCAGGUAACGAGCGAGAUCCCUGCCUCUAGUUGCCACCAUUACUCUCAGGAGUAGUGGGGCGAAUUAGCGGGACCGCCGCAGUUAAUGCGGAGGAAGGAAGGGGCCACGGCAGGUCAGUAUGCCCCGAAACUCUGGGGCCACACGCGGGCUGCAAUGGUAAUGACAACGGGUCCCGAAUCCGAAAGGAAGAGGUAAUCCUCAAACAUUACCACAGUUAUGACUGAGGGCUGCAACUCGCCCUCACGAAUAUGGAGUCCCUAGUAACUGCGUAUCAUUAUCGCGCGGUGAAUACGUCCCUGCUCCUUGCACACACCGCCCGU